GUUCCUUGGAAAAGGACAGCUGAGAGGGUGAGACUCCCGUCCGCCUGGUAGAGUGAACCUUUGUCAAAGAGUCGAGUUGUUUGGGAUUGCAGCUCUAAUUUGGUGGUAAAUUCCAUCUAAAGCUAAAUAUUGGUGGGAGACCGAUAGCGUACAAGUACCGUGAGGGAAAGAUGCAAAGAACUUUGAAAAGAGAGUUAAAGAGUACCUGAAAUUGCUGAAACGGAAGCGAAGGAAACCAGUGUUUGUUUGUUCAUAUUUCCCUGACCACUUGUGGUUUGGGCGCUGUGGGCUUGCGUCGGUUUGCUUUGGUUAAUCCCUUUGGAAGAGCGCAGUCAGAGUUGAUGUCU
RNAcentral lists this ribosomal RNA (347 nucleotides) under Pseudo-nitzschia calliantha. RNAcentral describes it as "LSU rRNA". It matches the Rfam family "Eukaryotic large subunit ribosomal RNA", at positions 185 to 508 of the family's 3401-position model. Lineage: Eukaryota; Bacillariophyta; Bacillariophyceae; Bacillariales; Bacillariaceae. The record is from RNAcentral.